CUCUCUCUCUCUCUCUCUCUCUCUCUCUCUCUCUCGCUCUCUCUCUCUCUCUGCAUGCUGGGAGUGUUUGGUGCAUGCUGGGAAUUGUUUGAGCAAGGGAGUGCGUGUGUGGUGUAGAGUUAGAUAUUCAGGACUUUCUUUAGGUUUUCUCUUUCUUGGUGGCAUUCUUUGUUUUCUUCUGUGCAUGAUUAAGGUUAUUAUUUUUAUUUGUUUGUUGUGGUAGAAUUAAGUAUUUUGUUUUCGUAUCGAAAUUACCCUGUUUUUGGCGGGGAUGGCAGCCCGAAUGGGGAUGCCGUCCCUGUCACUUCGGCACGGCUUUAGGUGUGUUACUGAAGCUACUGUCACGGUGGAGGAGUUUCUGGUCGCCGUAGGAGAGAAGGACAAUGACCCAAACACACCUCCAGGCUGCGUAAGGGCUAUUUGACCGAGAAGGAGAGUGAUGGAACCCUGCAUCAGAGGACCUGGCCUACACAACCACCCGACCUCAACCCAAUUGAGAUGGUUUGGGAUAAGUUGGACCGCAGAGUGAAGGAAAAGCAGCCAACAAGUGCUUAGCAUAUGUGGGAACUCCUUCAAGACUGUUGGAAAAGCAUUCCAGGUGACUACUACAUCAUGAAGCUGGUUGAGAGAAUGCAAAGCUGUCAUCAAGGCAAAGGGUGGCUACUUUGAAGAAUCUAAAAUAUAUUUUGAUUUGUUUAACACUUUUUUUUGGUUCCUACAUGAUUCCAUGUGUUAUUUCAGGUCUUCAGUAUAUAUAUUAAAACUAAAGAAAACCCUUGCACUAUUAACUGGUACUGUAUAUGAAAUCAAUAUCGAAAAAAAUACACUCUCUCUCUCUCACACACCUACCCCUAAAGUACAGUUGUAGUCGGAAGUUUACAUACACCUUAGCCAAAUACAUAUAAACUCAGUUUUUCACAAAUCCUGACAUUUAAUCCUAGUAAAAAUUCCUUGUCUUAGGUCAGUAGCAUUGCCUUUAAAUUGUG
RNAcentral lists this long non-coding RNA (986 nucleotides) under Salmo salar (Atlantic salmon). RNAcentral describes it as "lncRNA (ENSSSAG00000096559.1)". The record is from RNAcentral. Lineage: Eukaryota; Metazoa; Chordata; Actinopteri; Salmoniformes; Salmonidae.